RNAcentral lists this ribosomal RNA (501 nucleotides) under uncultured bacterium. RNAcentral's name for it is "partial 16S ribosomal RNA". It matches the Rfam family "Bacterial small subunit ribosomal RNA", at positions 30 to 523 of the family's 1533-position model. The record is from RNAcentral.
AUUGAACGCUGGCGGCAGGCUUAACACAUGCAAGUCGAGCGGGGGAAGGUAGCUUGCUACCGGACCUAGCGGCGGACGGGUGAGUAAUGCUUAGGAAUCUGCCUAUUAGUGGGGGACAACAUCUCGAAAGGGAUGCUAAUACCGCAUACGUCCUACGGGAGAAAGCAGGGGAUCUUCGGACCUUGCGCUAAUAGAUGAGCCUAAGUCGGAUUAGCUAGUUGGUGGGGUAAAGGCCUACAAAGGCGACGAUCUGUAGCGGGUCUGAGAGGAUGAUCCGCGUCACUGGGAUUGAGACACGGCCCAGACUCCUACGGGAGGCAGCAGUGGGGAAUAUUGGACAAUGGGGGGAACCCUGAUCCAGCCAUGCCGCGUGUGUGAAGAAGGCCUUAUGGUUGUAAAGCACUUUAAGCGAGGAGGAGGCUACUUUAGUUAAUACCUAGAGAUAGUGGACGUUACUCGCAGAAUAAGCACCGGCUAACUCUGUGCCAGCAGCCGCCGUAA